CCUACGGGAGGCAGCAGUGAGGAAUAUUGGUCAAUGGGCGCGAGCCUGAACCAGCCAAGUAGCGUGAAGGAUGACUGCCCUACGGGUUGUAAACUUCUUUUAUAAAGGAAUAAAGUGAGGCACGUGUGCCUUUUUGUAUUAACUUUACCAAUAUGAUCGGCUAAAGCCGGGUCCGCAGCCGCGGCAAUACGGAGGCUCCGAGGGUUAUCCGGAUUUAUUGGGUUUAAAGGGGACGUAGGUGGGUUGUUAAGUCAGUUGUGAAAGUUUGCGGCUCAACCGUAAAAUUGCAAUUGAUACUAGCAGCCUUGAGUACAGUUGAGGUAGGCAGAAUUCGUGGUGUAGCGGUGAAAUGCUUAGAUAUCACGAAGAACUCCGAUAGCGAAGGCAGCCUACUAAACUGCCACUGACAUUGAUGCUCGAAAGUGUGGGUAUCAAACAGGAUUAGAUACCCUUGUAGUC
This 459-nucleotide ribosomal RNA is filed under the name uncultured bacterium. Its description in RNAcentral is "partial 16S ribosomal RNA". It matches the Rfam family "Bacterial small subunit ribosomal RNA", at positions 338 to 795 of the family's 1533-position model. The record is from RNAcentral.